This 403-nucleotide ribosomal RNA is filed under the name Fusobacteriota bacterium. Its description in RNAcentral is "Fusobacteria bacterium partial 16S ribosomal RNA". It matches the Rfam family "Bacterial small subunit ribosomal RNA", at positions 355 to 776 of the family's 1533-position model. The record is from RNAcentral. Lineage: Bacteria; Fusobacteriati; Fusobacteriota.
UGGGGAAUUUUGCACAAUGGGGGAAACCCUGAUGCAGCGACGCCGCGUGUACGAUGAAGAUCUUCGGAUUGUAAAGUACUGUCCUUGGUGAAGAUAAUGACUGUAACCAAGAAGCAAGCCCUGGCUAAAUACGUGCCAGCAGCCGCGGUAAUACGUAUGGGGCAAGCGUUGUCCGGAAUUAUUGGGCGUAAAGGGUACGUAGGCGGUUAUUUAAGUCUAAAUUAAAAGGCAUUGGCUCAACCAAUGUAAGGUUUAGAUACUGGGUAACUUGAGUAGAUGAGGGGAAAGUGGAAUUCCAUGUGUAGCGGUGAAAUGCGUAGAUAUAUAGAGGAACACCAAUGGCGAAGGCAACUUUCUGGAAUCAAACUGACGCUGAGGUACGAAGGCGUGGGGAGCAAACAGG